Molecule: ribosomal RNA, 301 nt
Filed under: uncultured bacterium
Lineage: Bacteria
Description: partial 16S ribosomal RNA
Rfam family: Bacterial small subunit ribosomal RNA
Source: RNAcentral
CAGCCGCCGCGGUAAUACGAAGGGUGCAAGCGUUACUCGGAAUUACUGGGCGUAAAGCGUGCGUAGGUGGUGGUUUAAGUCCGUUGUGAAAGCCCUGGGCUCAACCUGGGAAUUGCAGUGGAUACUGGGUCACUAGAGUGUGGUAGAGGAUAGUGGAAUUUCCGGUGUAGCAGUGAAAUGCGUAGAGAUCGGAAGGAACAUCUGUGGCGAAGGCGACUAUCUGGGCCAACACUGACACUGAGGCACGAAAGCGUGGGGAGCAAACAGGAUUAGAUACCCGGGUAGUCCCUGUCUCUUAUAU